UCUAAGAUACACAAAUCUAUUGCUAACCCCAGGCAACUGUUUUCAAUUUUCUCCUCUCUCCUCAGUAAACCCUCACCUCCAACUCAGACCUCCCUUACUGCUGAAGACUUCGCAGCCUUCUUCGAAGCAAAGGUCACACUCAUCCGCAGCUCCCUUGACCCUCCCGACUCCCCACCCUUCCCUCCCCCCAUCCCCUCUAUGACCCUCCCCACAUUCUCCACCUUCUCCCCACUCUCUCUCCCUGAUGUCUCCCAACUCUUGCUCUCCCACCGUCCCACCACCUGUGCCCUUGAUCCCCUCCCCUCUACCCUCCUCCAGCUGAUCUCACCAGAGAUUAUCCCCUUCAUCGCCCACCUGAUUAACUCCUCCCUGACUUCUGGCACCUUCCCGUCAUCUUUCAAAAGAGCCCACAUCACCCCCAUUCUGAAGAAACCAACACUGGACCCCUGCCUCACCCAGAACUACAGACCGACACUCAGGUCUCCGAUCGCAUAUCCGCCUGCCUGAGUGACAUCCAGAGCUGGAUGACCAAACACCAGCUCAUGCUCAACACAAGCAAAACGGAACUUCUCCAUAUUCCUUCUCUUACCUCUCCCACUUCUCAUCUGCCCAUUUCUUUAGGAGUCACUCCCCUACACCCUUCGCAGAGUGCCCGAAAUCUUGGAGUUGUGCUGGACAACAGGCUGGCACUCUCUGAGAAUAUCGCGGCAACCACCCGGUCGUGCAGGUUCAUCCUGUACAAUAUCCGCAGAAUAAGACCACUCCUCACCAAUUAUUCCACACAGCUCCUGGUCCAGGCCAUGAUACUGUCACGUCUGGACUACUGCAACUCCCUCCUGGCUGGCCUCCCAGCAUCAGCCACCAGACCCCUUCAGCUCAUCCAGAAUGCAGCAGCACGUCUGGUUUACAACCUCCCUCGUGACUCCCACGUCACUCCCUCCUCAUCUCCCUCCACUGGCUACCAGUGCAAGCUCGCAUCCGGUUUAAGACACUGGUGCUUGCUUUCCAAGCAGUCAAGGGGUCAGCUCCUGGUUAUCUGCAGAAGAUGAUCAGACCCUACAAGCCGGCCAGAUCGCUCCGAUCGGCUACUACAGGGCGGCUGAUUCCUCCCCCUACACGAGCAGCAACAAGGUCUCGACUCUUUGCAGUUCUGGCCCCACGAUGGUGGAACGAUCUUCCAGUGGAGGUCAGAACAGCAGAGUGUCUGAGCACCUUCAAACGGAAACUCAAGACGCACCUCUUCUCUGUAUACCUCUCUCCUCUUCCCUAAACCCUCUCCCAUAACUAUUUAAAAAAAAAAAAAAAAAAAAAAAAAAAAAUUUUUG
Long non-coding RNA from Anguilla rostrata (American eel), 1325 nucleotides. RefSeq lists it as uncharacterized. NCBI's taxonomy places the organism in Eukaryota, Metazoa, Chordata, Actinopteri, Anguilliformes, Anguillidae. The transcript is spliced from 2 exons. The record is from RefSeq and is a predicted model, not a curated record.